RNAcentral lists this ribosomal RNA (245 nucleotides) under uncultured Methylophaga sp. Its description in RNAcentral is "partial 16S ribosomal RNA". It matches the Rfam family "Bacterial small subunit ribosomal RNA", at positions 524 to 768 of the family's 1533-position model. The record is from RNAcentral. Lineage: Bacteria; Pseudomonadati; Pseudomonadota; Gammaproteobacteria; Thiotrichales; Piscirickettsiaceae.
UACGGAGGGUGCAAGCGUUAAUCGGAAUUACUGGGCGUAAAGCGCGCGUAGGCGGUUUAUUAAGUCAGAUGUGAAAGCCCCGGGCUCAACCUGGGAAUGGCAUUUGAGACUGGUAGGCUAGAGUAUGGUAGAGGUGAGUGGAAUUUCAGGUGUAGCGGUGAAAUGCGUAGAGAUCUGAAGGAACAUCAGUGGCGAAGGCGACUCACUGGGCCAUUACUGACGCUGAGGUGCGAAAGCGUGGGGAG